Non-coding RNA from Zootermopsis nevadensis, 1827 nucleotides. NCBI's taxonomy places the organism in Eukaryota, Metazoa, Arthropoda, Insecta, Blattodea, Termopsidae. The record is from RefSeq and is a predicted model, not a curated record.
UAAAACAUGUAAUUUAUAAAACUAAUCGGUUAAUACCUUAUCUCGUAUAAGAGCAGGUAUUUAUUAAUAUUGAUUGCAUUAUCAAUGGCGUACACAAAUUCCAAAAUCUGAUGAGUGCGGCCGUACGUAAGAAUACUACUCAUUUUCAUUCAUAACUACCGGUACAUCACAGGUUGCUGUACCAUAGGAUAGUUUGCAGAUUUCUGAAUGGAUGAACAUUAACAAAUCUCCACCUGCUGGGAUGUGGCAGUAAUUGCUGGAUUGACAAAGGCUGCUGUGGAUAAAGUAUCUGAGGAAACUAACUGAGUGAGGAAUUUGCUGGUAUCAAAAAUAUUACAAGUCGCUAUGCCCUAGGCCAGUGGUAUUCAACCUGGGAUACGCGAAGACAUCUUAGGGGCUUUGGUUAAUAAUUUCGGAACACUGCUAAACCAAUGGUGUGAAGUAUCCAUGGCCCUGAUUCGUCCUUAUGGUGUAGCUGACUUCAUUUGGCGAUCAGAUACCAUUGUUCCUACGCAGUGCACCAUGUGUGGCUGGAUAUUGCGUCAGGCAGUGUUGGAGGCCAGCAGCUAGGCAGUACGUCAUAUCCGGGCACGGUGUUGACCAUGAGACACACGCGGGGCCUGAAGCUUAGGUCUUGUGUCGUGACCCUGGCUUGCGUGCAGCCAUGCACGAUCCAAGGAUCCAUGGAUUGCCUCAUAACACCUUUAAAAGAAUGAAAGGCGACUCGACACAUGUCACAAUCUGUUCUCGUUGCAAGUCGAUGUGUUUUAAUUGGACUUUGAUAAUUAGAGAUAGCAAUGUUUUGAUUAGUACACGGUUUGGGUAUCUAAAAAUGAAUUCCGAACAAAAGCUGAAGACUUGUGUUAUAAAAAGUGGCGUAUUGCGGGUUACGGACCCUUACAUUUACCACAGUUCUCGAGAAGCUGACAGUCGUUCAGAGAAAUAAUUCCCCGCAAUUUAUAGAACCAUAUUAACAAGAGCCGACCACCGGGCUUCGACCCUGUCCUCCUCCUCCUCCUCCCCCCCUCCCCCCGUCAUAUUUCUCUAAGAUCCUCUCCUCGCUUCUGAAACAGUAACAUCUCUUCAGAUUUUUUGACUAAAAUCGUAUAUGCUUACAUGCCCCUCCCAUCUCACUCCCCUUGAUUUGACCCUCGUAAUAUGUAGUGAAAUCAGAAUGAAUUUUUAUCGAGACAAAACAUAAUUUCGCUAGGCUUAGUGCCUUUUGGUUCAUCUGCGUGAAUUAAUGCGUAAUUAUUGUUUUGUAUACGAUAUUAAAGCGACCACUAACAGCACUAAUAGUGUCAAUGCAAAUCUUUCAGUGCAGCGACAACCGAUCAUGUGUAGAAGGGAGCUCAGUUAAUUGUAGAAGUAUUGGUACAUCAAAUAUACCUCAGACAAUGCACACUUUCCAACGCAAUUAUGUCGAAAGAAAGAUUUCGUUAGCAUAAUUGAUCAUAAAAGACAUUGAGGGAGGGAACGUGAAUCAUAUGAUGCUUCUUCACUUGAGAGGAGUGAAAAAUGAAGGUCCUGUUGACGUGUUGUGAGUGGAAAAUUUAUGUGUAUCGAAAGACUUGAGAAGUCGCGAUGGUUCACCUGUUGUUGCCACAGAAGUGAAUGGUGUAACGUAUGAUUCCUGUGUGUUUACUUGCCGAUAUGAAGGCAAGACAUCGAGUUAGCUGCUGUUAUGCUGUAACAUCGUAAUAUGCCGGUGCUCUUGUUAAAAUAAUCCGCUUUUCAGUUUUAAUUGGCAGCCUGAAGACGAAUUGUGUUCUCCGAACUGUUACUAUGGUUAUAAUUAAUUCCCAAUAAAUAAAUAUUUUUAAUGUA